UGCAACAACAGCUGCAGCAGCAGCAGCUGCUGCUGCAACAGGAACAUUUUUUGCAUAACUCACGGGAGUUACUUCAGACUGCAAUGACACGGGUCGUCCAGUGACCUCUCUUAUCUCAAAAGGAUGGUUUACCCCUAAACCUUCCACAGGUUUAAGUUGCUCAGGUUGGUUAAAAGCAGGACUUGCCUUAGAAUGCACUUUGUGAUGAGGCAGAGGGGGCAAAAAUCGAGCAGGACUAAGAUCUUCUUGAUCUUUCAUAUGCCAGGCAUCACUCUUCUGUUUGUGGUCUUCCUUAUCUUCUGUAGGGGACUUGGCCUCAGUAGUUGAUCCAUCUAACUGCUCAUGAUAAAUUUCAGUAAACAAGCUAGGGGGAGCAACAACACCACUUUCCAGCAAUACAUCAUGAAGUUUUUGGGCUAACUGUGGAUUCUCUUUGGCAGCAUCAAUCACAUAUUGCGAAACAUUUUUCACUUUCAUUCUACGCACAGCAGGAGAGCUAACACCUUCAGUCCAUGAAGGAGAUCUUGCAUGCGCAAAAGGAUAAUUAGGCCUUCCAGGACUCUCCCGCAUCAGCACCUUCUCUACAUUGGAACAUUUCUUAAAAUCAUCCAAGGUCAUCUUGGAUUCUUCUUCACCUUUAAUUGUCCUGGUCACAUUUGUAAAUUCAUGAAAUUCACACUUGUCAUCAGAUUCAUUUCCGGAACCAGCAACAUUCCUAAAUUUGGAUCUCUUCUCCAGUGUCCCAACAUCUGAAUGUUCUUCAAAUGAACUUGCUACUCCACUACUAGAAGAAGCUCUAUGAGAUGAAUCAAUGUCUCGAGACAAAGGACUAGCAGAAAAGAAAGAAUCAUCAUAUUCUACAUGCGAUCCAGCUACAUCAGAAGGAAUAAGAGUGCCAGGAUCUGCCAUUAGAUCAACAAUGUAUUCCCUUCCAUCAUCAAUCUUUACAAAAUUCAUGGCCACAUCAUCAGAACCAGUGUAUUGAUGACCUUUUACCAGCCGGCAUGGUACACCCACACUAUCAGCCAAAACCUUGAGCAUUAGUGCACGAUGGCGAGCCAAUCCAAUUGUAAGAGAACCAAGUGGCAAAACCAUGCUACCAAGUGUUGCUUUCAAACUGUAGCUAAGACUCCGCCAUGCCCUAGUAAUGUUGUCAGGAUCCCCAACUGAUCCACCCAUGUAAUCAGAAACUAAAACAGCAAGCUUUCGCACAAAAUCUCUACCUGUGAAAACUAAAGAUUCAGACCUUGACUUGACCGCCAUCUCUAGUGCCUUCUGUUCAAGUUUCAACAAGUUAGCAUCAGCAGCCCUAUUCACUAGCACUGCUUCCCACCUGACACCAUCUGACACUGGUGUUCCUUGCAAAUCAACUAGUGAAGGCAUUCUUUCUGAUGUGGACUCGGUCAAAAUUCCAUACAGGUCAUAAAAACCAUCCAAGAUCUUGUCAUCAUAGCUGAGAGCAUUGUAAUUCCAGUAUCUAUAAGCAACAACUUCCGCUGGAGUAUUCUCAGGAGCACAAGAGCCCAAACUUAUUUGCUUAACAGCCUCAAUCUGAACAGCCUCAGGAUCCUCUCUUGCACUGAGCUCCAAAGCCAGCUGAAUAUGAUAUUCCUCCUCAAUUUCAGGAUCCCUUGAUGCAGUAGACCCUGAGUCACGCCUGGCUACAUCAGAAACGACAUCCAAACCACCACUGCUAAUCGAAUCAGAUGGUUCAGUCCUCUCUUCUCUAGACACAUUUGAAGAUGAUGGCGGACUAGGACUUUUUCUAUUAGCAACCGAAUUCAACCAACUGGAAAUACCUGAGAAGGGGUUUUGCUCAUUGGACCUAGAGGGCAGAUGCCCAUCAGGGGAAGAGGCAUCAAAGGACUUAUAAUUGCCCCUUGAUGAAUUUGACCCCUCUGCAUCAUGUGAUUGAUUAGACAUGAUGUGGAGCUUCUUAAGAAAGUUCUUCAUGUUAUUUCACUGAGCUGUUGAAGUGUUCAAUGCUAAAGAAACAAAAAUCUGGCCAUAAACCUCUCCAUUGUCUUGGACCAUGCAUGAAAUCUUAAUCAAUAUAAACACCAACUGCAGAAAAUAAAAAGUUGAACCAAAUCCAAAAAGCCGCUUUUGCUUCACACCCACAAGUGACCCCAAAAUCAACCCAUCAAAUCCAAUAGCCACAACAAUCACUUCAAGCAAUACCCACUACAGCCUUCCCAGUAUGAAGAAUACCCAGAUGCUUGAAUUGAAUGAUAACCCUCUCCUUCUCACAAAACAACAAUUUACUCCAGACGAUAACACAAAGAAACAGAAUUCAAACUCAAACACAUAACACACUGGCAUGCAUGCACAGCAGAGGCAAUAGCACAAUAAAAAAAAUGAUCUUUACUCCCUUGAACAACAAUAAACCAGUAACCAGAUAGUGAAAAGGAUAGAUCUUCCUUUGGACUCAGGGAAGAAGAUGGCACAUAGAAAAGAGAGAAGUGGUACUAGCAGAGGGGUUAGUUUUGAAAAAAGUUAGGAGAUGCAGAAGCAGAGACAGCAAAGACCAACAAGUGGGAGAUAGGACCUCAAAAACAAAGAAUGACCCACUUGUAGUUGUUAAGGCACAAUGAUUUCACGGUCCCAUAGAAAGGUUAAUUGGGUUUGCAAACACCAACAAAACUCAACUCUUUAGCUCAACUAAACUCAAACUGGUUGGCUCUUCCUCUUUCUCUCUCUCUCUUGGGUCCAAAACAUUACUACCAUUGUCCUUUCUCCCUCUAGCUGUGAUUGGUGUUCCAAACUUCCAAGCGCGGAGUCCUGAGUUGGAAAUUCGGGCGAUGAAUGGAAUACUGAAUGUGCAAGUUGGAAGAGAGAGAUGAUCUCAACUUUUUUUCUGCUAUGUUUUUUUAACUCCAUUUUCCUUUUUAUUUUGUCGUUUUGCAUUAAAUUCUGCUUUUG
RNAcentral lists this unclassified non-coding RNA (2922 nucleotides) under Hevea brasiliensis (rubber tree). Lineage: Eukaryota; Viridiplantae; Streptophyta; Magnoliopsida; Malpighiales; Euphorbiaceae. The record is from RNAcentral.